UCUCCAAACCCGAGGAGCUGGAGGCAGUCGCCUGUGGGAGACGUUCCUCACCCAUGCUUGAGUCUCAGACAUUUUUGCUUGACACUUAAAGCGACGUUGCUAUUCCAAAGAGCUAUCUCUGCGUGAGCGGCGCGCAUUCCCGAUGGACCGGACUCGUGAGAGUGUGCGAUCGCGAGCGUUCACGCUUGUUGACAGACUUAUUCGUGUCUCUAACAAAGCAGUGCGUUGCCUCGUGCUAGAGAAUAGUUCACAGAAGUGGAUUACGCUGGGCUAGUUCUGAGAUCAUUUAGUCCAAAGAAUGAGGGGCAGCACUUUUCCACCCUGAAGACGACCGCUUGUGUUGUGAUCGAAACGUUGUAGUUUUUUGUUAUUUUUGUUAUUUUCUUUGAACCUAUCUACUUGACUUUACCGAAAGGCCCAAGAGUAUUAAUUCCUGCAGUCACGAAAGCUUUAACUCAAGAUUUAACCAUUAACUUAUCUCCUAUUUGUUUUAAAUGUGGAUCUCCCCAGUACUUUAAGGACUCAUUUAGACCUCAAUGAAAAAAAUGUUUUCCAUGGGGUAAUUCCCCCGUGACAGCUGCCACUACACAGAGAACAAAGGGUGUUUGGAUGGCAUGGGAGUGGCACUCUGAUAAAUACGAGACCAGAGCACCUGGACACUACUACAGUUGUAGCUCAUCCAGCAGUCACGAUGAAGGCACUGCUCAGCAUCGUCCUCGGUCUUCUCUUCCAGGAGCUCGCUUGCUCCACUUAUCUGGUCCCUGGCGCCUACACUAACGGCUCCCGGGAUGCGGAGGGCCAGUGCGUGUGUAACGUCUAUCUGCCGGACCCCGUCUUCCCGGCCGACAUGGUGGAGCAGCUGCAGCUCAGCACCCAGACGAUUGCCACGGCCUUCACGGUGGAGUCACAGAAGGUGGCAGAGAACCACGCCACGCUGGUGCGCUACACGGCGCUGCUGUAGAACCUGACGGUGCGCGUGGAGCGAAUGGAGCAGGGGCAUGACCGCUACACAGAGCUGGACUUUAAGCUGAUGCGGGUGGAGAUCAGGAAGAUGAAGCAGCUGGUACAGCAGCUGAAGCUGGAUGUCUCCAGCGCCACUCUCGAUCGUCUACACCUCUCGGUUAGUCACGAUUGUUGCAAAGCCAAACAAUUGUUUCCAUCAGGGGUGCAGCAAUGGCCACAGUUCCUUUUGGGAAGGUUUGCAGACUCAGGUUUUGCAUUUGAAGGUGGCAAGUAAAAGGGGAGUACCUUGGAUCACUGGAAUGCGGAGGCAGCAGUUCUUGCAGUCGCUGGACUGUGUUGGAUGGCUUCUCAUAGAGAGCUGAAUUGAACUUCAUGAGACAAUUUGUGAGGGAAAUGUUAAAACAACUGCUUCAACAUGUUAGAGCAACUGCUUCAACAUUUUCAUAAAUUCUGUGAAAUCUGUACACGGUAUCUGAACAUGGAAAACUUGCAUGCACAAAAUGGUUGUGUUAAUGCUCGUGAAAAUGUGAAAUUGCUUGCAUAGGGAUGAGGAAUUGUUACUAUGUAAAACCACAAUGAUUUAUUACAUCACUGCUGUACCUGGAGAUAAUGUUUUAACGUCAUUUGUCUUAAUUCCUAUCGGGGUGUAGAAAGGGUUUCAGGUCUCAAUACUCUUUGAUAUUUAUUUCCGUGUACCACACAAGCAUACUUUCCACAAUACACAUACUGCCCACCAUUAAAGGUCAUACACGUGCUUAAUUGCAGAGUCUAUUGUUGGAAUUUCUCAGGGUCGGGGGUUCCUAUUUUAAUGAACACAAGAGGGGUAGUCAAGUGGCUCACACGUGACAUGUUAGUUAAUGGAGUUUUCAUGUAAUUUGACACGGUGUGGGUCCCAGGAUCACUGGGCCUGGGGGUCCUGGAUGUAUGGGGGGAGGAGGUUAAAGGGUUGCAGUUUCCAAGUAUUAUUAACCAUUCACAUAUUUGAAAAAAAGUGAAUAUCAUGUUUACUGUAUGAUGUAAUAAAAUAAACUGGUAGGUUAUGAAAACGAAACAAGAAUUGAAAUAAAAAAUACUUUGUUAGAGCUGCCUGAGGUUAUAAUUUUAAGCAUUGUUUCCUCCAAAUGAACGUUUUAAUUAUUGAUUAUACAAAUGUAAUAUGUGCCAUAUUUUUAUGAAAAGUAAUUUUCUUUCAGAGAAAGAACCGUAAUACUAUUAAUUGUUGUAAAUGUUCAGUGCAGCAACUCAAAACAGAACUUGCUAUGUAGUGGUGAAUUUAGCAGUUUCACGUGAAGGCAGAUGCAGGCAGCUCAAUUAAAAUAUAUCUGGACUGGAAUUAUAGUUCACUACUUCUACUGUCAAAUAAGGCACCGCGUGAAUAUGGCUUGCGUGGAUACAAUGUUGAUGUUAUCGCUUUGUGAGGGUUGUUCUCCUGGCACUCCCGUUAGUUCUCAAAUGCCAGACAGAGUGCGGAAAACCAUCUGUAUGGGCGGGGAUAGUGAGUGAGUGGGCGUGGUUAUGUAAAAGUGGGUGGGCUGAUGGAGGGAGGGCCCUACCAGCUCAGCACAUUUCCCAGUUGAGUCUCCCAGACAUUUGGUAGCCCUGCCCCUACAGUUGACUUGUCACGUGCAAUGACAGGAACAACGUGCUGCUCAUCCGACGCCAGGUGGACACUGCGCAAGCAGCUGCAGGACUGCCAAGAGGAGGCCUCUAAUGCUGGCCAGCCCCCCGGCAGCAAUCCUGGCCAGCAGCCCCCCAUAGGCUCAUGCGUGCACAGUGGCUUGCAGAACGUCAGCGCACCAUUUGUUCACAUUCUGAACAUGCAAGGUGCAGCGUUCCAAUAUAGUGCAUUCGGGAAAGACCCACUCCCACUGAAGGCACCUGAGGAUGUGUAUUGGUGAUUUAGCAGCAAUCAGGUUUACUUUACUGUGAUGCAGAUGUUUUCUAACUACCGGGCACUGCAGACGUAUGUGCAGAUGGAACAAAAGACCCUUGUGGAUCUGAUUGUGGUUACGGAAUGGAUGCGAUGAUGUACAAAAACCACAUGUUUUACAGAUGCUCUACUGGUGUCUCUGUUUGCAAAUAUAACCUGACAGCCUCUACAAUUACCAGAGUAAAUCUCCCCCAAGCGUCAGGAAGCAAUUUGUAUCCUUACCUGGGCUCUACCUAUUCUGAUAUGGAUUUCUCUGGAUGAACAAGGUCUGUGGGAAGUUGUCCCUUGCUUUAUUUAAUUAUACUUACCUUGCUGUUAUUAGCAGCUGGACUACCACGCAGUCCAAACCCUCAGUUAGCAAUGGCUUCGUGUUGUGUGGAGUCCUGUACCUCACGUGCACCUCCAGCCUUAAAACUGAAGAGAUCUACUUUGCUUUUGACACCAAAACUAACUACGAGAGGUUAAUGAGCAUCGUGAUUGCAAAGCCCUUGGAAAAGAUGAGCAGCCUUAACUACAACCCAGCUGAUCACAAGCUGUACAUGUAUAAUCAUGGAUAUUUGGUUACUUAUGAUGUGACCUUUAAACCCAUAUAAUUGAUAAUAAUACGUAGUUCCUUAGGGUUUUCAUUGUAUGCGAGCGUCAACAAAGUAAUUCAAUCUGUGGAGUAUGAUUGAUAGCUGCCAAGGGCAUAUACUGCACCGUGUAAUUUUUUUUAAAUGAGCGUGCAUCGGUUAUUUUCCCCACAUUUAAAAUAGAUGAUGCUGCACCAUUUGUAGAUCGAGACAAACUCCAGGUGUGAAAUACAUAGAAAUUAUAUAAAACAAACGUUAUGCUCCAAUUAUGACAAGCAAAUGCAUGGAUGCUGUGAAUGUGGCAUUGGUGUUUAUUCAGUUCGGUAUUUGUUCUAAACGUCAUUUAAACGGCAAUAAAAAAAUAACUUGCGCUACGCGGGAGUUUGUCACCAGCACAGCUGUAUGUGGAACUUCUUUCGCACCGUACGUAGACAACCGUGCUAAUCGGAGAUCGUGGGCAUUUUGGGUUAGCAACCUCACUGUGCACUGCGUUUUAACCACAAUGCAGCCGCCUCAACAAGAACAAAUGGUGGCCCAGCUAUGCAACUACUGCAACAUCCUGCGUGUUAAGACAAGUUUGGGGAGUGCGCCUUCUUGUCUGCUGGGCCUAACUAAAGCUUGGAACUCACUUCCUACCAAAUGGUGUGCCGAGACAAAUUAAAACAUGUCGGAAACUUCAAAAAUCGAAUCUUUUCAAUCUUCAACUAGGAAUUUUAAAAAAAUGUGAUAUGCUGCUGGCCAGUGUUGUAAGCUGCACAAUACAAGAGGGCCUCUCACCUUCGUCAAGUUACAUUCCUAGAAAAGGUGCAGGAAGUCAAAACAACGUAAAUCGAGUCCGAUUUUUCCCAGAGAAACAAUGGAAUAAUAGGGUUUCUGAUUCCAGCCUUGCGGAGGGGUGGAGUUGAGGCGACUUGGACCCAACCCCAUAGCCAAUCACAAGCUGGCAUUCGCUUAUAGUCCUGCUUAUACUUGAUUAAUGAAUACAAUUGUUAAUUUGUUCGUUAAAAUUAGUAAGUCACAUGUUAAUUGUUGAGUGAAUUAAAUGUACAUUUAUUUUUAAGUUCUAUUCGUAGCGCCUUCAUUGAAGGCGCUUGACAAGGGUUUUAAGUGGUACAAUGAGUGCAGCUCCAGGUGAUAUGGUGAACAGGGAUGGGGGGGGGGUAUGGGAGGGAAGUUGGUGGAUACGGGAACUACCGGUGGGUACCCAGGGGAUGGAGGGAAGGAUUGGCCAGGGAGAAGAGGUGGAGGUCUUGAGGGAGGAGCGGAAACUCGAAAGGGGGAGGGCGCUCGCUGCUUCAUGUGGAGGGGAAGUUUGUUGCAAUGCAAGAGGGCGAGUAGGGAUAAGGAGCAGUCAUGGGGAUUGUGCACAA
This is a non-coding RNA of Petromyzon marinus (sea lamprey), 4835 nucleotides long. The record is from RefSeq and is a predicted model, not a curated record. NCBI's taxonomy places the organism in Eukaryota, Metazoa, Chordata, Hyperoartia, Petromyzontiformes, Petromyzontidae.